CAAAGUUCUCAACGUUCCCACCAAAACUGAUCUAACUUAACUAGCCAACUGCUCAAUUCGGAGAACAAAAGCAGACUACCAUUUCAGGUUUCCCAUUUUCCACAAAGAACAUGUCAUCUGCAUUUUCUCUAUCUAUUUCCCACAUUCUCAUCUGCAAAUCCCAGGAACUUUCAAAGGAUGCCCACAUCCCCAAAAUUGCUUACAGAGACAACGGUCUCACAAAACAUCCCUGGAUGUCAAACUGAGUAAAAGAAAACUACUAAAUGCCAUUGCCUUAGGUCUUGUAAGUGAAGGGAUCUCAGGCUGAGCCAGAGAGUCCAAUAGCAUCAACUUCAAGUAGAAUGUCAUAUUCAAGAUUCUUGCAGUACUUAGAUGAAGGCGCUGUGAGGAAAGUAGACCUGUUUGAGAAUGGAACCGUAGCCAUCGCUGAGAUUUUCAAUCCAACACUUGACUAGAUCCAGAGAUUGAAAAUACAAUUACCAGGAUUGCCGCAAGAGCUCUUGAGGAAACUGAAGGAGAAAAAUGUAGAUUUUGCUGCUCAUCCAAUGGAAGUCAACUGGGCUGCUGCUUUGCUUGACUUGUUGGGGAACUUGGCCCUUCUAUUGAUUUUGCUUGGCACUUUGUUGUUAAGGACAUCAGCUACAAACACUCCUGGAGGCCCCAACUUACCAUUCGGGCUUGGAAGAAGCAAGGCCAAAUUCCAAAUGGAACCUAACACUGGAGUAACAUUUGAUGAUGUUGCUGGAAUUGAUGAAGCAAAGCAAGAUUUUCAAGAAAUUGUUGAAUUCUUGAAAACACCAGAUAAGUUUGCUAAAGUAGGGGCAAGAAUUCCUAAAGGAGUUCUGUUAGUAGGACCUCCUGGGACUGGCAAGACUUUACUAGCUAAAGCAAUAGCUGGAGAAGCAGGAGUUCCUUUCUUUUCACUCUCAGGAUCAGAGUUUAUUGAAAUGUUUGUUGGUGUAGGGGCUUCAAGAGUGAGGGAUUUAUUCAACAAGGCAAAGGCAAACUCGCCAUGCUUGGUUUUUAUCGACGAGAUAGAUGCUGUUGGUAGGCAGAGAGGGACAGGCAUCGGUGGAGGAAAUGAUGAGAGGGAACAAACAUUAAACCAGUUACUUACUGUAAUGGAUGGUUUUAGUGGUAAUAGUGGAGUUAUUGUUAUUCUUGAUUCUGCUUUGCUUAGGCCAGGAAGAUUUGACAGGCAGGUAAGCUCUUGUUCUCUUACACUUACUCUGCAAAUUUACAAUGUUGAUUUUAAGCAAAUGGGAUUUUAAUAUGAUCAAAAUGGUGAAGGAGACUGAUUUUAGUUCUUGAAUUGUAAGUCAUGGAAUAUUUGUGCUACUUUGAUUAGGUUACUGUUGGGCUACCAGAUAUUAGGGGAAGGGAAGAGAUAUUAAAGGUGCAUAGCAAAAGCAAGAAGCUUGACAAGGAUGUUUCUUUUAGUGUUAUUGCCACGAGGACAGCAGGAUUCAGUGGUGCAGACUUGGCAAACCUAAUGAAUGAGGCAGCCAUUCUUGCUGGUAGGAGAGGCAAAGAAGAGAUCACCCUGAAAGAAACUGAUGAUUCAAUUGAUCGAAUUGUGGCAGGCAUGGAAGGAACCAAGAUGACAGAUGGAAAAAGCAAAAUCCUGGUGGCUUAUCAUGAAAUUGGGCAUGCCAAUUUCGCGUAGGUUCAUCAAAACACCUUCCUUUAUAUCUUAAACAUGCUUAAAUCUUCUCUUUUUAGAUCAGUCAAUCUUAAUAGACCUUUAAACUUUCUCGUUUACAGGACACUGACUCCAGGUCAUGAUCCAGUUCAGAAAGUGACUCUAAUCCCACGAGGCCAGGCCCGAGGACUAACAUGGUUUAUACCAGGUGAAGGUCCAGCUCUCAUCUCCAAGCAACAGUUAUUUGCUCGGAUAGUUGGAGGACUUGGGGGUAGAGCAGCAGAGGAAGUGAUUUUUUGUGAAUCAGAAAUCACUACUGGUGCUGCAGGGGACCUGCAACAAUCACUCAAAUUGCUAGACAGGUAUAUGCAUUUUACAAUAAAAUAAAGAUCUUAAAACAAGGAAAAUAUGCUUCUAUCUUCAACUUAUACUAAAAAAAUCUUGUUUCCUUACAGAUGGUUACAAUGUUUGGCAUGUCCGAGAUCGGGCCAGGGGCACCGACAGAUCCAGCAGUACAAAGCAGUGAUGUUGUACUAAGGAUGCUGGCUAGAAAUUCUAUGUCCGAAAAACUUGCAGAGGAUAUGGAUUCAUCGGUUCGAAACAUAAUUGAAAGAGCAUAUGAGAUUGCAAAGGAACAUGUAAGGAAUAAUCGAGAGGCCAUUGAUAAACUAGUGGAGGUGCUACUGGAGAGAGAAACCCUUUCUGGGGAUGAGUUCAGGGCAAUCCUGUCAGAAUUUACUGAUACUUCCAUAGACAAAGUAUAUAGGAUUUCUGUACUUGAAAUGAUCAAAGCCUAGAACCCAUUUAGAUUGUCAUACUGUAACUAACAAUUACAAUAAGUAAAGCAAUAGAAAAU
RNAcentral lists this unclassified non-coding RNA (2498 nucleotides) under Hevea brasiliensis (rubber tree). The record is from RNAcentral. Lineage: Eukaryota; Viridiplantae; Streptophyta; Magnoliopsida; Malpighiales; Euphorbiaceae.